This 422-nucleotide ribosomal RNA is filed under the name uncultured bacterium. RNAcentral describes it as "bacterial SSU rRNA". It matches the Rfam family "Bacterial small subunit ribosomal RNA", at positions 28 to 468 of the family's 1533-position model. The record is from RNAcentral.
GACGAACGCUGGCGGCGUGCUUAACACAUGCAAGUCAAGGACUGUAGCAAUACAGGACUGGCGCACGGGUGCGGAACACGUAGGUAAUCUGCCCUUUAGGGAAGAACAACCCGUCGAAAGACGGGCUAAAACUUCGUAAUAUCACGAGACGGCAUCGUUUUGUGAUCAAAUUUUCUAAGGGAUGAGCCUGCGUCUGAUUAGCUAGUUGGUGAGGUAACGGCUCACCAAGGCACGAUCAGUAGCUGGUCUGAGAGGAUGAUCAGCCACAUUGGGACUGAGAUACGGCCCAGACUCCUACGGGAGGCAGCAGUGAGGAAUAUUGCUCAAUGGGGGAAACCCUGAAGCAGCAACGCCGCGUGAGGGAUGAAGGCGCUCUGCGUUGUAAACCUCUGUAGUUGGGAAAAAUGUAGGGUUAUUACCCU